This 460-nucleotide ribosomal RNA is filed under the name uncultured bacterium. RNAcentral describes it as "partial 16S ribosomal RNA". It matches the Rfam family "Bacterial small subunit ribosomal RNA", at positions 338 to 795 of the family's 1533-position model. The record is from RNAcentral.
CCUACGGGCGGCUGCAGUGAGGAAUAUUGGUCAAUGGACGAGAGUCUGAACCAGCCAAGUAGCGUGAAGGAUGACUGCCCUAUGGGUUGUAAACUUCUUUUAUAAAGGAAUAAAACGAGGCACGUGUGCCUUUUUGCAUGUACUUUAUGAAUAAGGAUCGGCUAACUCCGUGCCAGCAGCCGCGGUAAUACGGAGGAUUCGAGCGUUAUCCGGAUUUAUUGGGUUUAAAGGGAGCGUAGAUGGGUUGUUAAGUCAGUUGUGAAAGUUUGCGGCUCAACCGUAAAAUUGCAAUUGAUACUGGCAGUCUUGAGUACAGUAGAGGUAGGCGGAAUUCGUGGUGUAGCGGUGAAAUGCUUAGAUAUCACGAAGAACCCCGAUUGCGAAGGCAGCUUGCUAAACUGUAACUGACAUUGAUGCUCGAAAGUGUGGGUAUCAAACAGGAUUAGAUACCCCAGUAGUC